This 436-nucleotide ribosomal RNA is filed under the name Actinomycetales bacterium. RNAcentral's name for it is "bacterial SSU rRNA". It matches the Rfam family "Bacterial small subunit ribosomal RNA", at positions 62 to 511 of the family's 1533-position model. Lineage: Bacteria; Bacillati; Actinomycetota; Actinomycetes; Actinomycetales. The record is from RNAcentral.
UCGAACGGUGAAGAGGAGCUUGCUCCUCUGAUCAGUGGCGAACGGGUGAGUAACACGUGAGCAACCUACCCUUGACUCUGGGAUAACAGUUGGAAACAGCUGCUAAUACCGGAUACGACCCUGGCGGGCAUCUGCCGGGGUGGAAAGCUCCGACGGUCAAGGAUGGGCUCGCGGCCUAUCAGCUUGUUGGUGAGGUAACGGCCCACCAAGGCGACGACGGGUAGCCGGCCUGAGAGGGCGACCGGCCACACUGGGACUGAGAUACGGCCCAGACUCCUACGGGAGGCAGCAGUGGGGAAUAUUGCGCAAUGGGCGAAAGCCUGACGCAGCAACGCCGCGUGCGGGAUGAAGGCCUUCGGGUUGUAAACCGCUUUCAGCAGGGACGAAGGGUUUCUGACGGUACCUGCAGAAGAAGCACCGGCUAACUACGUGCCAG